CCAAUAGCGUAUAUUAAAGUUGUUGCAGUUAAAAAGCUCGUAGUUGAAUUUUAGGCCUGACCGGACGGUCCGUCUCUGGCGAGUACUGUUCUGCUGUCGGGUCUAUCCUUCUGGUGAGCCGGUAUGCCCUUUAUUGGGUGUGUCGGGGAACCAGGACCAUUACCUUGAAAAAAUUAGAGUGUUUAAAGCGGGCUUUUGCUUGAAUAGAUUAGCAUGGAAUAAUAGAAUAGGACGUUGGUUCUAUUUUGUUGGUCUAGGACCACCGUAAUGAUUAAUAGGGAUAUUUGGGGGCAUUAGUAUUCAAUUGUCAGAGGUGAAAUUCUUGGAUUUAUUGAAGACUAACUACUGCGAAAGCAUUUGCCAAGGAUGUUUUCAUUAAUCAAGAACGAAAGUUAGGGGAUCGAAGACGAUCAGAUACCGUCGUAGUCUUAACCAUAAACUAUGCCGACUAGGAAUCGGGCGACGUUAUUAUCAUGACUCGCUCGGCGCCUUAUG
This 495-nucleotide ribosomal RNA is filed under the name uncultured Archaeospora. RNAcentral describes it as "SSU rRNA". It matches the Rfam family "Eukaryotic small subunit ribosomal RNA", at positions 591 to 1092 of the family's 1831-position model. Lineage: Eukaryota; Fungi; Glomeromycota; Glomeromycetes; Archaeosporales; Archaeosporaceae. The record is from RNAcentral.